This 460-nucleotide ribosomal RNA is filed under the name uncultured bacterium. RNAcentral describes it as "partial 16S ribosomal RNA". It matches the Rfam family "Bacterial small subunit ribosomal RNA", at positions 338 to 795 of the family's 1533-position model. The record is from RNAcentral.
CCUACGGGAGGCAGCAGUGAGGAAUAUUGGUCAAUGGACGCAAGCCUGAACCAGCCAUGCCGCGUGAAGGAAGACGGCCCUAUGAGUUGUAAACUGCUUUUGUACGAGGGCAAACGCCGAUACGCGUAUCUUUCCGAAAGUACCGUACGAAUAAGGAUCGGCUAACUCCGUGCCAGCAGCCGCGGUAAUACGGAGGAUUCAAGCGUUAUCCGGAUUUAUUGGGGUUAAAGGGUGCGUAGGCGGUCGGAUAAGUUAGCGGUGAAAUCCCGAGGCUCAACUUCGGAAUUGCCUUUGAUACUGGUCUGCUAGAGAGUAGGAGCGGUAGGCGGAAUGUAUGGUGUAGCGGUGAAAUGCAUAGAUAUCAUACAGAACACCGAUUGCGAAGGCAGCUUACCAGGCUACUUCUGACGUUGAGGCACGAAAGCGUGGGUAGCAAACAGGAUUAGAUACCCGUGUAGUC